This 253-nucleotide ribosomal RNA is filed under the name uncultured bacterium. RNAcentral's name for it is "partial 16S ribosomal RNA". It matches the Rfam family "Bacterial small subunit ribosomal RNA", at positions 524 to 776 of the family's 1533-position model. The record is from RNAcentral.
UACGGGGGGGGCAAGCGUUGUUCGGAAUUACUGGGCGUAAAGGGCUCGUAGGUGGCCAACUAAGUCAGACGUGAAAUCCCUCGGCUUAACCGGGGAACUGCGUCUGAUACUGGAUGGCUUGAGUUCGGGAGAGGGAUGUGGAAUUCCAGGUGUAGCGGUGAAAUGCGUAGAUAUCUGGAGGAACACCGGUGGCGAAGGCGGCAUCCUGGACCGACACUGACACUGAGGAGCGAAAGCCAGGGGAGCAAACGGG